RNAcentral lists this ribosomal RNA (422 nucleotides) under uncultured bacterium. RNAcentral describes it as "bacterial SSU rRNA". It matches the Rfam family "Bacterial small subunit ribosomal RNA", at positions 362 to 775 of the family's 1533-position model. The record is from RNAcentral.
UCUUCCGCACGGGACGAAAGUCUGACGGAGCAACGCCGCGUGAGUGAUGAAGGUUUUCGGAUCGUAAAACUCUGCUGUUCGGGAAGAACAAGUACCGUUCGAAUAGGGCGGUACCUUGACGGUACCUAACCAGAAAGCCACGGCUAACUACGUGCCAGCAGCCGCGGUAGUACGUAGGUGGCAAGCGUUGUCCGGAAUUAUUGGGCGUAAAGCGCGAGCAGGCGGUUCCUUAAGUCUGAUGUGAAAGCCCCCGGCUCAACCGGGGAGGGUCAUUGGAAACUGGGGAACUUGAGUGCAGAAGAGGAGAGUGGAAUUCCACGUGUAGCGGUGAAAUGCGUAGAGAUGUGGAGGAACACCAGUGGCGAAGGCGACUCUCUGGUCUGUAACUGACGCUGAGGUGCGAAAGCGUGGGGAGCGAACAG